GGACAACCUGGUCAAAAAGGAUAUCCAGGAAAUCCAGGAUUUUUAGGAUUAUCAGGUGAAAAAGGAAUGAUGGGGAUGAUGGGCCAUCCGGGAAACACUGGCCCUCCCGGGCCUCCCGGGAACCCAGGCACCCCAGGACAGAGGGGUAGCUUUGGAAUUCCGGGAGCAAAGGGUGAGAAAGGGCCCCCAGGAGCCAAGGGGGAAAAAGGAGACAAAGGACCUCGGGGGCCUUCUCAAAUAUCCAAUUUACUGGGGGACAAAGGAGAACCAGGCCUCAAAGG
This 281-nucleotide long non-coding RNA is filed under the name Ursus maritimus (polar bear). Its description in RNAcentral is "lncRNA (ENSUMAG00000017721.1)". Lineage: Eukaryota; Metazoa; Chordata; Mammalia; Carnivora; Ursidae. The record is from RNAcentral.